UGCAUUUACAGCCUAUUAUUAUCGUGAAAAGCAUAACUAUUAGUGUUUCCAAUGUGACUCAUUAUAGGUAAUUUAGAAAUAAAUUACUGGCAACCCCAAAAAAAUACAUUGACUUUUUCAUUGUUUUCUUUCUCCGAUUGCCGGGAAAAAAUUCGAUGGUGAUAAAUACGAUACGGAAGAUCUUAAAUUAUCCGUGAUAGCUACUUGCUUACAAAGGUUUUCAUUACACAAGUUUUCCUAUAAGAUGCAAACAUAACCUUAAAACAUCAGCCAGCAAGUUAUAUGAAACACAACACCUGCAUCAACAAGUAUGAAAGGAUCCAGUCGCAUUCCCGUUCAGACUAUCUAAGUUACCUAAACAGAAGAACUAAAUUGAAACCCAGGAAGGAUUAUAAAAUCUUGUCUUCUCGAAGCGACCUCUUCCAAGACUCGUCAGUGCAUAUAAUAAACAAGAUUAUUAUAUUUCAUACAAAAGAACUUUGAUAGAUACAUGUGACUAUGUUAUAAAAUGAAAUAAAGCUUCUCUAAAU
Long non-coding RNA from Plutella xylostella (diamondback moth), 530 nucleotides. RefSeq lists it as uncharacterized. NCBI's taxonomy places the organism in Eukaryota, Metazoa, Arthropoda, Insecta, Lepidoptera, Plutellidae. The record is from RefSeq and is a predicted model, not a curated record.